AAGGCAGAACAUUGCAUUGGCAUCCAUGAUUGACGGAUUGAAAAAUAAAUCCAUACCAAGAACUUAAUGGUCUUCACGCAGAGACUGCUACAGGCAACGACAUCCUCUGUAAUAAAAAUACAAGCAGCGGCCAAUGCGACUUGACGACAGCCAUAAUGUUAAGACGAUGAUAUCAAGCGCCUCCCGACAGGAGGCAAGGCGCCCUUAGGCGCUCGGGCCGUCGAGCCACAGCACGGCGGCGCGGCUAUCGCGUCGCUCCUCCCUCCGGCGGAGCACGACCCAUGCGACACUCGCCCUCGCCCGCGUCGUGGCCGCUUGCGCCCGGCCGCCCCCAGGCCGUGGCCGCACUCGCCCGUGACGUGGCCACCUGC
RNAcentral lists this long non-coding RNA (371 nucleotides) under Hordeum vulgare. RNAcentral describes it as "long non-coding RNA (HVUL_LNC002129)". Lineage: Eukaryota; Viridiplantae; Streptophyta; Magnoliopsida; Poales; Poaceae. The record is from RNAcentral.